AUAUAUAUAUAUAUCUCUCUCUCUCUCUCUCUCUCUCUCUCUCUCUAUAUAUAUAUAUAUAUAUAUAUAUAUAUAUAUAGAGAGAGAGAGAGAGAGAGAGAGAGAGAGAGAGAGAAAAUUGAUGGAAAUG
This 130-nucleotide microRNA precursor is filed under the name Marmota monax (woodchuck). Lineage: Eukaryota; Metazoa; Chordata; Mammalia; Rodentia; Sciuridae. The record is from RNAcentral.